RNAcentral lists this ribosomal RNA (514 nucleotides) under uncultured bacterium. Its description in RNAcentral is "bacterial SSU rRNA". It matches the Rfam family "Bacterial small subunit ribosomal RNA", at positions 19 to 518 of the family's 1533-position model. The record is from RNAcentral.
AUGGCUCAGAUUGAACGCUGGCGGCGUGCUUAACACAUGCAAGUCGCGCGUGAAAGUCCUUCGGGAUGAGUAAAGCGGCGCACGGGUGAGUAACGCGUGGAUGAUCUACCCAUGAGUUGGGAAUAACGGUUGGAAACGAUCGCUAAUACCCGGUACGUUCCGAUUUCAACUUCGGGAGAAAGGGGGCCUCUGCUUGCAAGCUUCUGCUCAUGGAUGAGUCCGCGUCCCAUUAGCUAGUUGGUGAGGUAACGGCUCACCAAGGCAUCGAUGGGUAGCCGGUCUGAGAGGAUGACCGGCCACACUGGGACUGGAACACGGCCCAGACUCCUACGGGAGGCAGCAGUGGGGAAUAUUGCGCAAUGGGCGAAAGCCUGACGCAGCGACGCCGCGUGAGGGAUGAAGGUCUUCGGAUCGUAAACCUCUGUCAAGAGGGAAGAAACGUCAGGGUGCUAAUCAGCCCUGAUCUGACGGUACCUCUAAAGGAAGCACCGGCUAACUCCGUGCCAGCCGCCGC